This 301-nucleotide ribosomal RNA is filed under the name uncultured bacterium. RNAcentral describes it as "partial 16S ribosomal RNA". It matches the Rfam family "Bacterial small subunit ribosomal RNA", at positions 509 to 807 of the family's 1533-position model. The record is from RNAcentral.
CAGCCGCCACGGGAAUACGUAGGUGGCAAGCGUUGUCCGGAAUUAUUGGGCGUAAAGGGCUCGCAGGCGGUUUCUUAAGUCUGAUGUGAAAGCCCCCGGCUCAACCGGGGAGGGUCAUUGGAAACUGGGAAACUUGAGUGCAGAAGAGGAGAGUGGAAUUCCACGUGUAGCGGUGAAAUGCGUAGAGAUGUGGAGGAACACCAGUGGCGAAGGCGACUCUCUGGUCUGUAACUGACGCUGAGGAGCGAAAGCGUGGGGAGCGAACAGGAUUAGAGACCCGCGUAGUCCCUGUCUCUUAUAC